ACUCCUACGGGAGGCAGCAGUGGGGAAUAUUGCACAAUGGGCGCAAGCCUGAUGCAGCCAUGCCGCGUGUGUGAAGAAGGCCUUCGGGUUGUAAAGCACUUUCAGUCGUGAGGAAGGUAGUGUAGUUAAUAGCUGCAUUAUUUGACGUUAGCGACAGAAGAAGCACCGGCUAACUCCGUGCCAGCAGCCGCGGUAAUACGGAGGAUCCAAGCGUUAUCCGGAAUCAUUGGGUUUAAAAGGGUCCGUAGGUGGAUGAUUAAGUCAGAGGUGAAAUCCUGCAGCUCAACUGUAGAAUUGCCUUUGAUACUGGUUGUCUUGAAUUAUUGUGAAGUAGUUAGAAUAUGUGGUGUAGCGGUGAAAUGCAUAGAUAUCACAUAGAAUACCGAUUGCGAAGGCAGAUUACUAACAAUACAUUGACACUGAUGGACGAAAGCGUGGGGAGCGAACAGGAUUAGAUACCCUGGUAGCGACUG
Molecule: ribosomal RNA, 473 nt
Filed under: uncultured bacterium
Lineage: Bacteria
Description: bacterial SSU rRNA
Rfam family: Bacterial small subunit ribosomal RNA
Source: RNAcentral